This 253-nucleotide ribosomal RNA is filed under the name uncultured bacterium. RNAcentral describes it as "partial 16S ribosomal RNA". It matches the Rfam family "Bacterial small subunit ribosomal RNA", at positions 524 to 776 of the family's 1533-position model. The record is from RNAcentral.
GACGGAGGGGGCAAGCGUUGUCCGGACUCACUGGGCGUAAAGGGUGCGCAGGCGGUCCUGUGCGUCGGCGCUGAAAGCGCCCGGCUUAACCGGGCGAGGUGCGGCGAUACGAUAGGACUGGAGGCUCGGAGAGGGUGGCGGAACUCCUGGUGUAGUGGUGAAAUUCGUAGAUAUUGGGAAGAACACCCGUGGCGAAGGCGGCCAUCUGGACCGGUACUGACGCUAAGGCGCGACAGCGUGGGGAGCAAACAGG